This 225-nucleotide unclassified non-coding RNA is filed under the name Ascomycota sp. RNAcentral describes it as "partial contains small subunit ribosomal RNA, internal transcribed spacer 1, and 5.8S ribosomal RNA". The stretch from base 1 to 47 matches the Rfam family "Eukaryotic small subunit ribosomal RNA", at positions 1785 to 1831 of the family's 1831-position model. Lineage: Eukaryota; Fungi; Ascomycota. The record is from RNAcentral.
AAAGUCGUAACAAGGUCUCCGUAGGUGAACCUGCGGAGGGAUCAUUACUGAGCGAGGGCCCUCGCGGCCCGACCUCCAACCCCAUGUCAUCCGACCCUGUUGCCUCGGGGGCGACCCGGCCUUCGGGCGUCGGGGCCCCCGACGGACCCCUCAAACACUGCAUCCAUGCGUCCGAGUACGAUUACAAACCAAUCAAAACUUUCAACAACGGAUCUCUUGGUUCUG